Molecule: long non-coding RNA, 504 nt
Filed under: Equus caballus (horse)
Lineage: Eukaryota; Metazoa; Chordata; Mammalia; Perissodactyla; Equidae
Description: lncRNA (ENSECAG00000048811.1)
Source: RNAcentral
CAGAAGAUAAGCAAAUGAGUGAACGUGUUAUAUGUUUUAAGCUCAGAUAAUAAUUUUUUGGUGCAUAUGAUAUAUCUUUAUGAUUUCCUUCUUUAAUCAACUUUUUCAUGUAACCAACCAGUUCCAAAGAAGUGGGCUUCUACUGUAGAAAAUAGAGCUAUCACCAAUAUAUCAGAAAGUUUCAGUUUGGAGGAAUUGGCAAUAAAUGUGUUCUGUGUAAUGAAUCAUAUUUCCCCGAAAACUUCUAAUCUAAUUUUGGUAUUUGUUUUAUUUUUUUAAGUAUCCCAAUAUACUUGAUUAUUUGAUAUAUUUGGUCCUGAGUGUUCUUGUAGCCGAAGAUUUAUUUUCAUCGCCAACCCUGUGUUUGCUCCUCUCCCUCGUUUAAAGCCACUACUAAUUGUGUUAAAUAGAAUCCCAGCUUCCUGAUCAUGGCAGAAGUAGUGGUGCCCCUUGCAGAUAAGGGAAGUGAGCUUCAGAAAGACUGAGUGACUUGCCUGAAGCCUG